Molecule: ribosomal RNA, 253 nt
Filed under: uncultured bacterium
Lineage: Bacteria
Description: partial 16S ribosomal RNA
Rfam family: Bacterial small subunit ribosomal RNA
Source: RNAcentral
UACGUAGGGGGCAAGCGUCGUCCGGAUUUAUUGGGCGUAAAGAGCGUGUAGGCGGCCAUACAGGUCCGUUGUGAAAACUCGAGGCUCAACCUCGAGACGUCGAUGGAAACCGUAUGGCUAGAGUCCGGAAGAGGAGAGUGGAAUUCCUGGUGUAGCGGUGAAAUGCGCAGAUAUCAGGAAGAACACCCGUGGCGAAGGCGGCUCUCUGGGACGGUACUGACGCUGAGACGCGAAAGCGUGGGGAGCGAACAGG